Long non-coding RNA from Hemicordylus capensis (graceful crag lizard), 4121 nucleotides. RefSeq lists it as uncharacterized. Lineage: Eukaryota; Metazoa; Chordata; Lepidosauria; Squamata; Cordylidae. The record is from RefSeq and is a predicted model, not a curated record. The transcript is spliced from 4 exons.
GGAGGACUAGGCCUCGCUUAGAGCCAAAUCAAAGGGACCAGCUCAGAGGACCGGGCGGGAUUCCUGGCUCCACCCCCAGCAGAAGCUCUGGUCUCCUGGUGAGUCUGUCCCAGGAGGAGGAGGAGGAGGAGGAGGAGGACCCCGAGGAAGAAGCAGGCCGAGAGCUGCUGGGGAGCUGGGAAGAAGGCCGCAGGCUGUGAGGAAGAAGGACCAGGACAUCCGUGCAAGGCCUCCGGAGGGAAGUGGUUCUUCUGUGAGGAUCGCUGGGGAUCUGCAUUGCCAGGUCUGAGGACUGCAAAGCAGAAGAAGGAAGGAAGGAAGGAGGAAGGAAGGAAGGAAGGAAGGAAGGAAGGAAGGAAGGAAGGAAGGAAGGGCGGAGGAAAUGGCCCAACUUCCCGAAAGACUUACCUGGAGUCCGUGAUGAGCCGGAUGAGGGAGAACAAACUGAGGCUGAAUCCAAGGAAGACAGAGCAUCUUUCACCAACUACAAAUGAAAAGAUUUCUAAGUCAAUGCUAACACUACACUGUGCUGCCAACACAGUGCAGCCCGUCAAGCUCGUCACUCCCACCCCAAUAUCUCAACUGCCUAAAAUCACAAAAAAUCUCAGUCAUCAGCUCUGAUUCUAAAAAAGGUGAUUUUGGUAUUUGCAGACCCUAAGCCUGCACAGUGACUUCUGGGCCAAAGCAGGGAACAUGAUGCUCCCAACAUAGACUCGAGAGACCACUCCAUUCCCAACAAGAGAGACAACAGAGAAGUCACACCAAGAUCACCCUCCAAUCCUGAAAGUGACUCCGAACCCAGCUCAAAUGGAGGAUUAUACCAUCAACCCUAGCUGGUCUUCUCAACACCGACUGCCUCCGAACUGAAAAGCAUCCCCUGCACGAUACUGACUAUAUAGAAGAGACCCUACGUGAUACCAACACUCUCCGGGUCACAGGGAAUCCCUUCACCAUCUCUACUCUCCAAAACGCUAUUCCAUAGGAUCUGGUGUAUUGCUACUGAGAACGUCGACAUUGAGACUACUCUCCAUCUGAUCAUGCCUGAUCAUUCCACUUACUUCUUCGAUGACAGAUCUGUCAUUGAUGAUAGAGAACGCUAUCUCCACCCUUGCUCUUGGGCUCCACAUCGAAACCAAUAUCCGGGGAGAUUGGACCAUCCAGACUCUCGGUCCCAAUCACACUUUCCUCAGCACUGCAGGUCUUGGUCUCAGUCAAGAGAUAAGAGAACUCAACCACCUAAGCAGCUGGACUUUGACCUCCUACCACCGGAUUCCUCGACUGAAGAAUCCGCCUCAGAGGAAGAUGCAGAAACAGCCCUGGACAUCGCAUGGGGUUCCACACCUUCAGAUCUAAUUGAAGAUCCAAAGCCUCUGCCUCCCUCGGAGUACCUGAAGCUCUUCACUGACCAAGUGGCCUAUAUGGCUACCUCUUUAGGUAUCCAGGUUAACGAACCUCCUAAAUCUCCUCCUGAUCCCAUUUUUGGGCCAACUGAUGCUGAAACUUUGCACUCUUUCUUCCUACCACUGAACUGAAUGGACCACUGAAUGGACAUUGUCAACGCUUGCUGGGCAUUUUUGCCACCUACCUCUCAGAAGCUGGAAGGUUUUUUACAAGGUUCAAGCCAGGGACAAUCAGUUCCUUCUGUGCCAUCCUACUCCUCACUCCAUUAUAAUGGACUCUGCUCAGUCCUGUUCACAGAACAGAAUCCAUUCAGCAACAUCUGACACAGAAGGCAGAAAAGCAGAUGCCCUUUGGCCUGUCCCCUUUCCAAACAGCUCCUCCAUAUACCUCUCACCAUGCCACUGACUGUUCAUUCAAUGUUCGCUGCGGCAACUCUGCACUGGCACACGUGGAUGUGUUCACCUACAUUGGCACCUGGAACAAGAAGAGGAAGAGAGAAUUUGACCUUUUGAUGGCCAGGCCCUUGUUGGAAAGGAGACAAAAACUGAAAAAUAUGGCAAGACCUAUGACCUCCCAACAACCUGCCUACAAUUCCUCAAGGGGCAACAAAUCCUCUUCUGCUGCUGCUGCUAUAUCAUUUUGUCCUUCCAGCUACUCUCAAUCGACUAACCGUUCCUUUCGUCCUUCUAGGACCUCCCUAUUUCAGAAAAGACAGGACUCCGUCGUAAAAUCACAACCUUCCAAAUCUAAACUACCAGUGCAUAGCAAGUGCUCGGGACUCAAGCAGCUGCAAAUAUUAUUCUUUGAAGCACUCCACACACAAAUCGGGCUUUGUCUCUAGCUUAUUUCGAUGUAUUUCUGGGUUUUUAAAAUGCUGCUUUUAAUGAGAUUUUCUGAAAACACCAGAGCAAGUAGGGGGAGGCAUUGACAUAGAAUCAUUCUCAUGAUAAGAGGGAUAUAAUCUUUUAGGAAUGCAGAUAGAGGCUUUAGAAAUCUCUCUUCCCACCCCGCCAUUGGCUAGAAGGAAAAUACGGAGGCACGCGAUGUGAACUUGCACCAAAAGAAAACCUGAGAGCAGAGGGGAGGGGCUGCUUCCCUCCUUGUCGCGAGUGCGAUUCGAAGUGUCUUCACUCAACAUUGACCCUGAAGCAUGAAGCCAGGUGCGAAUAACUCCCUGGCCUUCCAGGGUUUUCUAACGGCUUUACAUGUUUUCGUUGUUCAUGGUUUUAGACUGUUUUUAAAAUUGUUUUGUAAGGAUUGUUUUUAAAAGUGCCUAGGUAAUGAGAGCAGCAGUAGCCAUCUUGCUGCCCCUCGGGCAUCCCAAUAGUCUGCCCAUUGAAGGAACUGCCUCACCUUGCCUCAUGGAAGGACCGCCCUUACCUGUCAUCACUGCUCCAUUAAGGGUGUGGAGAGCUCACUUUACAUAGGCCUCUGGAUUAAAGGCAGCAAGGUUAGUUGUCCUGUGUGUCCAUCAGGUUAACAUGUUCCUUUUGUGAUAUAGUCUGGAACCCUGUGUAACUUUGUGGCAAAGUUUGUGUGAGAUGUCUAUGGGUGGUUUUGUUUGAUUUGAAAACCAAUCCAGAUCCCAUACUUUACAAUAGCCUGCUGCAAUGUGUUCAUUUUUGGAAAGGCUGACAUCCUGACCCCCAGUUCAUUCUUGUGCUGAAGAGUGUGUGUGUGCUUCCUUCCUUCCUUUCCUGCUUGCACAUGUCCUGGGCUUCACUGAGUCCAUGAGUCACUCUUAGGGGGCAGAAGUCAGGGACUGGAUUGUGUCCAAGUGCCUUGUUUUAAACUAUUAAGCCAAGCUCACAGCCAUUGCUUGGAAUGCAUUGCAAUAGGAAGCUUGAGAUUCCCACUUUAGCCUUCUGGAGGGGAUGUCUGGCCAGUUUCCCAACUUAGCACCACAUGAAGGAUGCCCAGAAGCCACAUGUGUGGUCACACAUGGGUGGUGAAGGGGAGCAGGAGAACAUUUGCCAUCCAUGGGUGCUCUUUCUGGGCCUUCCUGACUGAACGCCAUCAGGUAUAGAGAUAGAAUGCAAGUACAUAUCAUAGGAACACAGGAAUAUAGGAAGCUGCCAUAUACUGAGUCAGACCAUUGGUCUGUCUAGCUCAGUAUUGUCUACACAGACUGGCAGCAGCUUCUCAAAAUCUGCAGAGAGGAAUCUCUCUCAGCCCUAUCUUGGAGAUGCUGCCAGGGAGGGAACUUGGAAGCCAGAUGCUCUUUCCAGAGCAGCUCCAUCCCCUAAGGGAAAUAUCUUACAGUGAUCACACAUGUGGUCUCCCAUUCAUAGGCAACUGUGGCAGACCCUGCUUAGCUAAGGGGAAAAGUCAUGCUUGCUACCACAUGUGGUCUCCUAUUCAAAUGCAACCAGGUUGGACCCUGCUUAGCUAGGGGGCCAGGCCAUGCUUGCCACCACAAUACCAUCUCUCUUUGCUAGAUCAGCUGUCCUCUCUAUGCAAGAACAUCAUCCUCUAUGCAAGAACAUAGCCUGGGACUCUAGUCCGAUCUAGAAUGGGCCCCAUCCAUAUACGUUUCUAUCCAUUCUGAAAAUAAAGCCAGCCGCUCCAGAACCUGUGAAGUAGGCCUAACCUACUUCACAGGGUUGUUCUGAGGAGAAACUCAAGUAUGUAUUACACCGCUCUGGGCUCCUUGGAGGAAGAGCGGGAUAUAAAAUGUAAAAAUAAAUAAAAUACAUGGGAGCACUCUCUGCUGUAAGAUA